CCUACGGGAGGCAGCAGUGGGGAAUAUUGCACAAUGGGCGCAAGCCUGAUGCAGCGACGCCGCGUGAGGGAUGACGGCCUUCGGGUUGUAAACCUCUUUCAGUAGGGAAGAAGCGAAAGUGACGGUACCUGCAGAAGAAGCGCCGGCUAACUACGUGCCAGCAGCCGCGGUAAUACGUAGGGCGCAAGCGUUAUCCGGAAUUAUUGGGCGUAAAGAGCUCGUAGGCGGUUUGUCGCGUCUGCCGUGAAAGUCCGGGGCUCAACUCCGGAUCUGCGGUGGGUACGGGCAGACUAGAGUGAUGUAGGGGAGACUGGAAUUCCUGGUGUAGCGGUGAAAUGCGCAGAUAUCAGGAGGAACACCGAUGGCGAAGGCAGGUCUCUGGGCAUUAACUGACGCUGAGGAGCGAAAGCAUGGGGAGCGAACAGGAUUAGAUACCCUGGUAGUCCAUGCCGUAAACGUUGGGCACUAGGUGUGGGGGACAUUCCACGUUUUCCGCGCCGUAGCUAACGCAUUAAGUGCCCGCCUGGGGNGACGCGCAGACGAACACAANAGAGUAGACGCGNGAGAGNGCGAGACGACGACGAGGGAGGAGG
This 593-nucleotide ribosomal RNA is filed under the name uncultured bacterium. RNAcentral's name for it is "bacterial SSU rRNA". The stretch from base 1 to 524 matches the Rfam family "Bacterial small subunit ribosomal RNA", at positions 338 to 873 of the family's 1533-position model. The record is from RNAcentral.